RNAcentral lists this ribosomal RNA (459 nucleotides) under uncultured bacterium. RNAcentral's name for it is "bacterial SSU rRNA". It matches the Rfam family "Bacterial small subunit ribosomal RNA", at positions 340 to 786 of the family's 1533-position model. The record is from RNAcentral.
UACGGGAGGCGGCAGUGGGGAAUAUUGCACAAUGGGCGAAAGCCUGAUGCAGCUAUGCCGCGUGUAUGAAGAAGGCCUUAGGGUUGUAAAGUACUUUCAUCGGGGAGGAAAAAACAAAACUAAUAAUUUUAUUUCUUGACGUUACCCGAAAAAGAAGCACCGGCUAACUCCGUGCCAGCAGCCGCGGUAAUACGGAGGGUGCUAGCGUUAAUCAGAAUUACUGGGCGUAAAGAGCACGUAGGUGGUUUUUUUAAAGUCAGAUGUGAAAUCCCUGGGCUUUAACCUAGGAACUGCAUUUUGAAACUGAAAUACUAGAGUAUCGUAGAGGGAGGUAGAAUUCUAGGUGUAGCGGUGAAAUGCGUAGAUAUCUGGAGGAAUACCUGUGGCGAAAGCGGCCUCCUAAACGAAUACUGACACUGAGGGUGCGAAAGCGUGGGGAGCAAACAGGGAUUAGAUACC